GACGAGAUUAAGAUUCUGGGGUUGAC
This 26-nucleotide small RNA is filed under the name Bombyx mori (domestic silkworm). Its description in RNAcentral is "ovarian small RNA-15549". Lineage: Eukaryota; Metazoa; Arthropoda; Insecta; Lepidoptera; Bombycidae. The record is from RNAcentral.